UCAUGUUUUGGUGGCAUACUCACCGUUGUUUAUUUCUUUAGGAAUUUCAUCAUAACUAAGAAAACACCAAGUCACCCCUAUAACACUCGAUCCAGAAAAAUGGAUAAUGAAGAGGGCAUGCAGGAACAGAUGAAGGUCGAUCUAUCGGCUUUAAAAGAUCAAAUGGCUUCCAUCUCGGAGGUCAUGUUAAAACUCCAGAAAAUUAUAGAGGAUAAAGCCACGACAACCGCCUCCAGUACAGUUAGGGAAGCGGAGCCGGUGC
Molecule: long non-coding RNA, 262 nt
Filed under: Glycine max (soybean)
Lineage: Eukaryota; Viridiplantae; Streptophyta; Magnoliopsida; Fabales; Fabaceae
Description: long non-coding RNA (GMAX_LNC004150)
Source: RNAcentral